RNAcentral lists this long non-coding RNA (1480 nucleotides) under Anas platyrhynchos platyrhynchos (common mallard). RNAcentral describes it as "lncRNA (ENSAPLG00000020774.1)". The record is from RNAcentral. Lineage: Eukaryota; Metazoa; Chordata; Aves; Anseriformes; Anatidae.
GAAGCAUAGCAUUCACAAAACACCUUUCUUCCAAGUCUCCUUAAUUUAUAAAUGGAAUCAACAGGAGUCUGUUUAAUUAAUAUUUAGCGCACAGAGUUUUGUUUAUCAAAGAAACAACUCUUUUUCUAAGCUCCGCAUCUCAUAAUUCUCAGAAAGUGCUUGUAGCUUCAAUAUUUAAUGUCAGAAAGAAGGAGACAGUUAUAAAAUAACCACCACUUCAUUACUCAUUCCAUGAGUGUAUGCAAUGAAGACAUAGCGAUGUACAUGGUAAAUAAUGAAGAGAACAACUGGCAUUGCAUUCCCUGAAUUAGAAUAGUUCUUGUUGUAAACACAAUUUAGUUUUCACCUCUGGCAAUCGCACUUCAAAACUGGUUGGGAUCAAAGAUAAAACUGAAUAUAGCAGUGAUAUAUAGUCUUCUCAGUCUCCCACAGAUAUCAGCUCAUUAGAAAUCACGGGAAAAUAUUAAAACUCUUUAAUAUUCUGACAGCAGUUAAAUUGUGACAUUUCCUAUGUCAAAACCAAGAGUCAACAAACACCCACUGCUACUUGUAAUGAAGUAGACCUCUAUUAAUAACGGUAAUAAGCUAAGAAAAACUUUACUCCUGAGCAGAAACGUUUCCAUAGGCUGACUUUGUCAUUGUGGAACAAUGCUUAUCAAAAAUGUAUCCAGAAAUAUCUUCACACUGCAGUUGCUGCUGACUGUAGCUGUAUACUCAGAACAGCCAUGACCUCACAAAGCUGUGGAGUUGACUUAAUACUUGCAUAGUUAAAAGACGGAGGACUUGAGAUUUUUGUACAAGGUACAGGCAAUGGUACAGCCAUUUCAUAUUUUUAGAAAAUGUAUUCACGAAUAUAAUGAUUACAAGCACACUUCCAUGAAUUAAAAUGAAUAUUCUCAUUUAAAGAAUUUGUCUUCUUAAAUUACCAAAAAGCUUAGGAAUUUGCCAAUCUUGCAAAAACUUAUAUGGACAGACUAUCAGCAGAAGCUGACAAGAAACUCUGCAUCAUGGUAAAACAAUUGACUGUAGAUGGAGCGGAUCAGCUAAGCAAAAUGGCUUUGAGAACAACAAUAUUUAUUUAGAUUGAAAGGAGUAGGAUUGAAAGUGAGAAUAAUUACAUUAUGAGAGAGGACACAGAAGGCAGAGGACUCAGAGCUGCUGGAGCUGAGGCUGUGGAUUCUUACAAUUGAAGGUACUGAAGAACGCAAGAACAGAAUCUUCCUUAACAGCACCUCAGAGUUUUUAAAGUGAUUUUCCUCUUUUCCCAGCUCAGAUUCAUCAUAUACUCAAAAGAGUAUACUCAAAAGAGUAUAUGAUGGUGGCUCAUCAACAAAGCACUUUGAUGCAUGUUAGCACAAAGUUGCAUAACGUUUAUAUAAAAAAAAAAAAAAGUAGGAUUCUCUGUUCACUGUGAUUACUUAAAUGGAUCUAAGUUCUUGUCUCCAUUAAAUAAAGAGUGACUUCAUAGGAUGGAUGUGCA